RNAcentral lists this ribosomal RNA (460 nucleotides) under uncultured bacterium. Its description in RNAcentral is "partial 16S ribosomal RNA". It matches the Rfam family "Bacterial small subunit ribosomal RNA", at positions 338 to 795 of the family's 1533-position model. The record is from RNAcentral.
CCUACGGGAGGCAGCAGUGAGGAAUAUUGGUCAAUGGGCGGAAGCCUGAACCAGCCAAGUAGCGUGCAGGAUGACGGCCCUACGGGUUGUAAACUGCUUUUAUACGGGAAUAACGCGCCUUACGUGUAGGGCUUUGCAUGUACCGUAUGAAUAAGGACCGGCUAAUUCCGUGCCAGCAGCCGCGGUAAUACGGAAGGUCCGGGCGUUAUCCGGAUUUAUUGGGUUUAAAGGGAGCGUAGGCCGCCUGUCAAGCGUGCGGUGAAAUGUCCGGGCUCAACCCGGGCCUUGCAGCGCGAACUGGCGUGCUUGAGUCCGCGGAAAGCAGGCGGAAUGCGUCGUGUAGCGGUGAAAUGCUUAGAUAUGACGAAGAACCCCGAUUGCGAAGGCAGCUUGCUGCAGCGGAACUGACGCUGAUGCUCGAAAGCGCGGGGAUCGAACAGGAUUAGAUACCCUUGUAGUC